This 290-nucleotide small nuclear RNA is filed under the name Jaculus jaculus (lesser Egyptian jerboa). Its description in RNAcentral is "7SK RNA (ENSJJAG00000008342.1)". It matches the Rfam family "7SK RNA". From Rfam's summary of the family: 7SK was discovered as an abundant small nuclear RNA in the mid-70s but a possible function has only recently been suggested. The record is from Rfam by way of RNAcentral. Lineage: Eukaryota; Metazoa; Chordata; Mammalia; Rodentia; Dipodidae.
GGAUGUAAGGGUGGUCUGGCUGCAACACCUGUUACUCCAUUGAUAGCCAGGGUUGAUUCGGCUGAUCUGCCAGGCUAGGCAAGUGUCCCCUUUCUCCCUCACCACUGCAUGUGUGUCCCUCCUGAACCUGUACACUUGAUUGAAUAGGAUGACCUUCCCUGAAUAUAGGAGGACUUGUCUUCAGUCAAGGUUAUACAAGUAGCUGUGCUCCUCUGCUAGAACCUCUAAACAAGCUCUCAAAUAUAUGGACAUCAACUUAUAUGAUGUUAAUAUUAUUAACCUGUCAUUAA